Molecule: ribosomal RNA, 465 nt
Filed under: Vreelandella stevensii
Lineage: Bacteria; Pseudomonadati; Pseudomonadota; Gammaproteobacteria; Oceanospirillales; Halomonadaceae
Description: partial 16S ribosomal RNA
Rfam family: Bacterial small subunit ribosomal RNA
Source: RNAcentral
CCUACGGGUCGCAGCAGUGGGGAAUAUUGGACAAUGGGCGAAAGCCUGAUCCAGCCAUGCCGCGUGUGUGAAGAAGGCCUUCGGGUUGUAAAGCACUUUCAGUGGGGAAGAAAGCCUUGGGGCUAAUACCCUCGAGGAAGGACAUCACCCACAGAAGAAGCCCCGGCUAACUCCGUGCCAGCAGCCGCGGUAAUACGGAGGGUGCGAGCGUUAAUCGGAAUUACUGGGCGUAAAGCGCGCGUAGGCGGUCUGAUAAGCCGGUUGUGAAAGCCCCGGGCUCAACCUGGGAACGGCAUCCGGAACUGUCAGGCUAGAGUGCAGGAGAGGAAGGUAGAAUUCCCGGUGUAGCGGUGAAAUGCGUAGAGAUCGGGAGGAAUACCAGUGGCGAAGGCGGCCUUCUGGACUGACACUGACGCUGAGGUGCGAAAGCGUGGGUAGCAAACAGGAUUAGAUACCCCAGUAGUC